This 1969-nucleotide small RNA is filed under the name Rattus norvegicus (Norway rat). RNAcentral's name for it is "uncharacterized LOC102553568". The record is from RNAcentral. Lineage: Eukaryota; Metazoa; Chordata; Mammalia; Rodentia; Muridae.
CAUACCUUAAAAAAAAAGACAGGGUCUACUUUAAAGGUUUAUAAACACUAGACACCCUCUCCUAGGAUGUCUUCCUUGAAUAUAGCUCAUUCCAUGUUCACACAGCAAACAUGUACUGUAAGAAACCACUCUCACACGUAUGUCAUUGUACCCUGCGGUAAUAGCAUCAGAUGGAGGGGCAUGGAACACAGAGGAAGCUCUGGGCUCUGGCUAGACCCACAGACUACAACCAGGAGAAGGGGUGAGAGACUGAAGAAGACAGAAGACCUCGCACUGCUUCUGUGGAGCCUCAUCUUGGUUACCACUCCCUGGCCUACAAUUGUGUGAUCAUAGUCACAUGUCCCAGGUGAUAUCCCAUCCCCAGGACCCAAGUGGACGCUGGCUACACAUGGCAGGUCUGAGAUUCCAGCCGUAGAAGACAGGGUCUCUGGGGUAGGUGGUAUUAAAUCCAGCUCUGGAUUUAACCAAUGGACCCUGCCUCAAUGAAUGAUGUAGAAAGCUUCCUGAUUAUCAAGCUCAGGCUUGAUAGGGGGAAGCUAUAUAUUGUGAUGCUUGUAAUCUUAGUCUUGGGGAGAUAGGAAGAUUUUUUUAGGGUUCAUUAGCUUAACCUGUGAGACUCGAGUCUCAGUAAGAGUCCCUAUCUUAGAAACAGGAGGAUGAUACUGAACUGCUUAUACUACAGGCUGACUUCUGGCCUCCACAGACAUGUGCAUACGCACGUGUGCACACAUGUAUAGGUGCCCCUGAAAAAACAUGAACAUACACACAUGCAUGGCCGCAGUGAAAGAGGGAGAAAGGACUUCCUCCUCAUCAGCGUUGUCAAGCACAGGCAACACUUGAAUCCUGAGCGCCAGGGAGGGCUACAACUGUUUUGUCCCAAGCUGUUUCUUCAUUAUUUCUCCACCUCCUUACAGGGGCACAGAUUACAGGCCAAGCUGUGGAUAAAGUGAACCCUGGCUUUACCAGAACGGGGACAAAGACAUGAAAGCUGUUAUUGUGCUAAUCCUAGCACCGUUCAACUGUGCCAAGCUUGCAAGGAGGGCACAUGAGGCCAGCACAGACUGAGGUAAGUCCCAAGAGACAGGCAGCAGACAGGGAGGAGAUGGAGACGGGGAAAGUUGUGUAAAGGAGGGGGUGGGUGCCUAUGGUGGGACAGACAUGAUUUCCCCAAUGCCCGGAAGGUAGUAACCCGAGUGGUUGUGGUGGAGAGGGCUGCAGAAGAGGGUGGGAAUUCUCUGGGUCUUGAAAGCCUUUCAGUGAGUUGAAUCUUCACCUGGGAGAGAAGAGAGGCCACCAAUGACUUGGAUUCUGUAUCUGGCCCAGGCUCAGGGUUAGUCAGAAGUCUGUUGAAUGGAAAUCUGUCUCCUCUGUAUCUGGGUGCCCCAUAAUUUGAGAAGCCCUGCCCUGAAUUCUGAAAUCUUCAGAUCGAGCAACCACAUUGCUGUCUGAUUUAGGUAGAGAAGAAUUCUUCUUGCUAGAGCCUCCUUUUGUCUGGCCCGGGGGAUCCUGGCUCCACUGUAGCUGUUGGCAGGUUUCAGUUCUUGCCACCAACAAGGAGGGACAGGAAGAGAGGUCCUUGAUGACCGACCUAGCUGGGUGGAACCUUGGAGAGCUCCCAUCUUGUCUCCUCUGUAGAUGAGGGAAUCACGGGCUACACAGGCUUCAUUAGGUGGCUUGCUGCUUGUCUGUCAUUCGAGGAACAAUCGGUGCCUGAGAACGGAAGCUCUGGAAAGGAAGCAAUGGAAGAGCGAGGAGACAACUUACAUGCAGAACGGGAGAAAGUCUUUGCCAGCUCUAUAUCCAACAGGGCAUUAAUAUCUAAGGUCUGUCUAGGACUUUUCCAUCUCCAAAAAUUAAAAACUAAGAACACACCAAUCAUUCAGGCAAUAAGUGGGCUGUUGAACUGAAUGGGCAGUUCUCGAAAGAAGAAAUACGAAUAGCUAAUAAAUACUCGAGAAAACAAAAAUCA